AACAAACGCUGGCGGCGUGCCUAACACAUGCAAGUCGAACGAGAAAGUCGGUUUCGGCCGAUGAGUAAAGUGGCGCACGGGUGAGUAACGCGUGGAUAAUCUACCCUUUAGUCCGGAAUAACUUGCCGAAAGGUGAACUAAUACCGGAUGACAUCCCGGGUUCUCCGGAAACCGGGAUCAAAGAAGGCCUCUGCUUGCAAGCUUUUGCUGAAGGAUGAGUCCGCGUACCAUUAGCUAGUUGGUGGGGUAAUGGCCUACCAAGGUUAUGAUGGUUAGCUGGUCUGAGAGGAUGAUCAGCCACACUGGAACUGAAACACGGUCCAGACUCCUACGGGAGGCAGCAGUGAGGAAUAUUGCGCAAUGGGGGCAACCCUGACGCAGCAACGCCGCGUGAGUGAGGAAGGUUUUCGGAUUGUAAAGCUCUGUCGAGCGGAAAGAAAUGCACGAUGGCUAAUAUCCAUCAUGCUUGACGGUACCGCGUAGAGGAAGCACCGGCUAACUCCGG
This 505-nucleotide ribosomal RNA is filed under the name uncultured bacterium. RNAcentral describes it as "bacterial SSU rRNA". It matches the Rfam family "Bacterial small subunit ribosomal RNA", at positions 29 to 506 of the family's 1533-position model. The record is from RNAcentral.